ACUAAACAAUAAACCCAAACCACACAAAAACAUUGGAUUCAAGUCCCCUCGGUAAAAAUAUAAUAAUGUACCCAUAGCCCAAAAAAUGCAAUGAAACUUUUUACGAUCUGUCUUUGACUAUUAGUUUGCAGAAAAAAGCAUCUGCACAGAAAGACUUCUGGUUCCCCUGAAAAGACUGAAAAAAUCCAAUAAUACCACAAAGGACUUUCCAGACAAACAUUGAGAGUUUAAAAAUAAAAAAAAACCCCGAAUUGGUCAUUAAAAUAAUAUAGGUGAAACGACGUAUUCGUAUGCUCCUUGCUAUCAUCUUUGACUAGCUCCUCUAGUCGUCUCCCUUAACAACACCAACCUUGGCAGGACGAAUAACUCUUCCAUUCAAUUGAAAACCCUUGCUUUCGCAAUGGAAGACAGUGUUGGGCUUUUUACCUUCAACAGGGAUUUGGAAAACAGCUUCAUGGAUGUUAGGAUCAAAAUCUUCUCCGAUACCGUCAUAGCGAACUAAACCAUAUUUUCCUAAGGUUUUCAUUAAGUUCGAUUCAGUCAUUGCUAAACCUUCAUAAAGAUCAACUAAAUCCUUGUUGGACUCACGAUUGUUACGCUUCUCCUCUGGAACAAUUGAAAGAGCACGCUCCAAAUUAUCGACAGAAUCCAAAAGAUCCUUAGUAAGCUUUUGAACAGCAAAUGCACGUGUUUGCUCCAUGUCUCUCUUCAUGCGGUUUUCCAAAUUACGAUAGUCAGCUAAGCUUUGGCGAAUGCUACCCUUUAACUCCGCAACCUCUUUGUCCUUUGCUUCAUAUUUACUUUUAAGCUCAGAAAGCUUAGAUUGAAGUUCCUUAACAUCAACAUUCUCUGUUUCGGCAACUUUUUCUUCAGCAGGCUUUUCUUCCUUAGCAGCCUCAGUUGAGUACCAAAGGAAACUGCGUUUAUUAAUGGGUGCUCGAAUAAGCGUCCGAGGACGUACAGCGGAUGAAAAUACUCUUCCAAGCCCAAGCAUUGUUUCAGUGAGAGCUUUGUGGUAAAAGACAACUGUGUCACACUAUAGACAAAUGGUGUUGUGAACUUAGCACUGUUAAAUUUUACAAAUAUCAAUUUCAUCAACUUAAAAAUUCGUUAUGUUUCGUUAAAUGAGGUAUGGACUUUGAGAUGGAAGCUGAUUCAAAAAAUAUAUAAAUGACACUUUUUUCUCAAAUUAAAGCUUCUAUUUCGAUAUGUAACAAAUUGAUUGUAGGUUUGAACAUGCAUGUAGGAAAGCAACCCAAAUUUCGAAUUUGCUCAACACUGGAAGCCAACAACGGCUCAUAUGCUUAUCAAUUAUUAAUUUAUUCUUUUCAGCUUCAUUCUCAACAGAUAAUAAUUAACUGAUUUCUCAUCUAUAUUUAUAUCCUUCUUGGUAUGCUUUACGGCAUUGGAUUAUAUCGAAGUACUUACUUCGCAGCCUUUGAAAGUAAAAUAAUUGAAUAUUAUAAUUUAAGUUUUAAAAUAAUCCUAUUUGUGUCAUCUGGGCCAUCUUAUUAUUUUUACAUUCAUCAGUUUAUUUGCAUAAUGAUAUUUGUUGAACAAUUUAUGGGA
This 1569-nucleotide long non-coding RNA is filed under the name Schizosaccharomyces pombe (fission yeast). Lineage: Eukaryota; Fungi; Ascomycota; Schizosaccharomycetes; Schizosaccharomycetales; Schizosaccharomycetaceae. The record is from RNAcentral.